GGGUUGUGAGGUUAAGCGACUAAGCGUACACGGUGGAUGCCCUGGCAGUCAGAGGCGAUGAAGGACGUGCUAAUCUGCGAUAAGCGCCGGUAAGGUGAUAUGAACCGUUAUAACCGGCGAUUUCCGAAUGGGGAAACCCAGUGUGAUUCGUCACACUAUCAUUAACUGAAUCCAUAGGUUAAUGAGGCGAACCGGGGGAACUGAAACAUCUAAGUACCCCGAGGAAAAGAAAUCAACCGAGAUUCCCCCAGUAGCGGCGAGCGAACGGGGAGGAGCCCAGAGCCUGAAUCAGCAUGUGUGUUAGUGGAAGCGUCUGGAAAGGCGCGCGAUACAGGGUGACAGCCCCGUACACAAAAGCGCAUGUGCUGUGAGCUCGAUGAGUAGGGCGGGACACGUGGUAUCCUGUCUGAAUAUGGGGGGACCAUCCUCCAAGGCUAAAUACUCCUGACUGACCGAUAGUGAACCAGUACCGUGAGGGAAAGGCGAAAAGAACCCCGGCGAGGGGAGUGAAAAAGAAUCUGAAACCGUGUACGUACAAGCAGUGGGAGCACCCUUCGGGGUGUGACUGCGUACCUUUUGUAUAAUGGGUCAGCGACUUAUAUUCUGUAGCAAGGUUAACCGUAUAGGGGAGCCGGAGGGAAACCGAGUCUUAACCGGGCGUUAAGUUGCAGGGUAUAGACCCGAAACCCGGUGAUCUAGCCAUGGGCAGGUUGAAGGUUGGGUAACACUAACUGGAGGACCGAACCGACUAAUGUUGAAAAAUUAGCGGAUGACCUGUGGCUGGGGGUGAAAGGCCAAUCAAACCGGGAGAUAGCUGGUUCUCCCCGAAAGCUAUUUAGGUAGCGCCUCGUGAAUUCAUCUCCGGGGGUAGAGCACUGUUUCGGCUAGGGGGCCAUCCCGGCUUACCAACCCGAUGCAAACUGCGAAUACCGGAGAAUGUUAUCACGGGAGACACACGGCGGGUGCUAACGUCCGUCGUGAAGAGGGAAACAACCCAGACCGCCAGCUAAGGUCCCAAAGUCAUGGUUAAGUGGGAAACGAUGUGGGAAGGCCCAGACAGCCAGGAUGUUGGCUUAGAAGCAGCCAUCAUUUAAAGAAAGCGUAAUAGCUCACUGGUCGAGUCGGCCUGCGCGGAAGAUGUAACGGGGCUAAACCAUGCACCGAAGCUGCGGCAGCGAACGUAUCACCCAAGACAACUUUACGGAGUUGACGAUUGACGGAGCGAAGCGACGUCAAAGCGUUCAUUAAAGUCGAGUUGGCUUAGGGAUACGUUCGUUGGGUAGGGGAGCGUUCUGUAAGCCUGUGAAGGUGUGUCGUGAGGCAUGCUGGAGGUAUCAGAAGUGCGAAUGCUGACAUAAGUAACGAUAAAGCGGGUGAAAAGCCCGCUCGCCGGAAGACCAAGGGUUCCUGUCCAACGUUAAUCGGGGCAGGGUGAGUCGACCCCUAAGGCGAGGCCGAAAGGCGUAGUCGAUGGGAAACGGGUUAAUAUUCCCGUACUUGGUGUUACUGCGAAGGGGGGACGGAGAAGGCUAUGUUGGCCGGGCGACGGUUGUCCCGGUUUAAGCGUGUAGGUGUGUGUUCCAGGUAAAUCCGGUUCACUUUAACACUGAGGCGUGACGACGAGGCACUACGGUGCUGAAGCAACAAAUGCCCUGCUUCCAGGAAAAGCCUCUAAGCAUCAGGUAACAUCAAAUCGUACCCCAAACCGACACAGGUGGUCAGGUAGAGAAUACCAAGGCGCUUGAGAGAACUCGGGUGAAGGAACUAGGCAAAAUGGUGCCGUAACUUCGGGAGAAGGCACGCUGACACGUAGGUGAAGUGAUUUACUCAUGGAGCUGAAGUCAGUCGAAGAUACCAGCUGGCUGCAACUGUUUAUUAAAAACACAGCACUGUGCAAACACGAAAGUGGACGUAUACGGUGUGACGCCUGCCCGGUGCCGGAAGGUUAAUUGAUGGGGUCAGCGCAAGCGAAGCUCCUGAUCGAAGCCCCGGUAAACGGCGGCCGUAACUAUAACGGUCCUAAGGUAGCGAAAUUCCUUGUCGGGUAAGUUCCGACCUGCACGAAUGGCGUAAUGAUGGCCAGGCUGUCUCCACCCGAGACUCAGUGAAAUUGAACUCGCUGUGAAGAUGCAGUGUACCCGCGGCAAGACGGAAAGACCCCGUGAACCUUUACUAUAGCUUGACACUGAACAUUGAGCCUUGAUGUGUAGGAUAGGUGGGAGGCUUUGAAGUGUGGACGCCAGUCUGCAUGGAGCCGACCUUGAAAUACCACCCUUUAAUGUUUGAUGUUCUAACGUGGACCCGUAAUCCGGGUUGCGGACAGUGUCUGGUGGGUAGUUUGACUGGGGCGGUCUCCUCCUAAAGAGUAACGGAGGAGCACGAAGGUUGGCUAAUCCUGGUCGGACAUCAGGAGGUUAGUGCAAUGGCAUAAGCCAGCUUGACUGCGAGCGUGACGGCGCGAGCAGGUGCGAAAGCAGGUCAUAGUGAUCCGGUGGUUCUGAAUGGAAGGGCCAUCGCUCAACGGAUAAAAGGUACUCCGGGGAUAACAGGCUGAUACCGCCCAAGAGUUCAUAUCGACGGCGGUGUUUGGCACCUCGAUGUCGGCUCAUCACAUCCUGGGGCUGAAGUAGGUCCCAAGGGUAUGGCUGUUCGCCAUUUAAAGUGGUACGCGAGCUGGGUUUAGAACGUCGUGAGACAGUUCGGUCCCUAUCUGCCGUGGGCGCUGGAGAACUGAGGGGGGCUGCUCCUAGUACGAGAGGACCGGAGUGGACGCAUCACUGGUGUUCGGGUUGUCAUGCCAAUGGCACUGCCCGGUAGCUAAAUGCGGAAGAGAUAAGUGCUGAAAGCAUCUAAGCACGAAACUUGCCCCGAGAUGAGUUCUCCCUGAGACUUAGAGUCUCCUGAAGGAACGUUGAAGACGACGACGUUGAUAGGCCGGGUGUGUAAGCGCAGCGAUGCGUUGAGCUAACCGGUACUAAUGAACCGUGAGGCUUAACCUUACAACGCCGAAG
This 3011-nucleotide ribosomal RNA is filed under the name Salmonella enterica subsp. enterica serovar Typhimurium. Its description in RNAcentral is "23S ribosomal RNA". It matches the Rfam family "Bacterial large subunit ribosomal RNA". The record is from RNAcentral. Lineage: Bacteria; Pseudomonadati; Pseudomonadota; Gammaproteobacteria; Enterobacterales; Enterobacteriaceae.